This 87-nucleotide transfer RNA is filed under the name Criibacterium bergeronii. It matches the Rfam family "tRNA". Rfam says of the family: Transfer RNA (tRNA) molecules are approximately 80 nucleotides in length. Their secondary structure includes four short double-helical elements and three loops (D, anti-codon, and T loops). The record is from Rfam by way of RNAcentral. Lineage: Bacteria; Bacillati; Bacillota; Clostridia; Peptostreptococcales; Filifactoraceae.
GGAAAAUUGUCCGAGUGGUUGAAGGAGCCGGUCUCGAAAACCGGUAAGCCUACUAAGGCUUCGUGGGUUCAAAUCCCACAUUUUCCG